Non-coding RNA from Hydra vulgaris (swiftwater hydra), 349 nucleotides. Lineage: Eukaryota; Metazoa; Cnidaria; Hydrozoa; Anthoathecata; Hydridae. The record is from RefSeq and is a predicted model, not a curated record.
AAAAAAUAGCUUUGAGCUUUUCAUUGCGACAUGUUCAAUUGAAAAAUAUAUUUUAAGAUAAUGCAAACGAUAGUGUGGAUUACAUAACAACAAUAUCUUCAUAAUAUCCAGUCAGUAAUAUCUAUGUUUUUUAAAUAAGCCGUCAGUAGGAGUUUCAGUAAUACUAAUUUUGUACAAAGAAACAAAUCACUAACAAGUUUAACGAACAACGAACACUCUGAAAACAAAGCAAAAAUCUACAAAAAUCAAAUUAAACAACUAUAGUAAAUUUUUUUAAGUUCUAAUACAGUCAGCUCUCCUAUAACGCGAUAUUCCUUCAAUCCCAGUGAGCACAAGUACGUUUUGUAAA